CAGGAUUCAGUGUGGGCUCUGCUCAGAACUCAGAAAUCCAGUUAAAAGGACACAAUUGGAAACACUGGUUAUUUUACCAGUGUCUUGACUUGAAUGGGGUACUUUCAGAUACAGACUCCUUUAAGGAAUUAAAGUUAACUUAUACAGCCAAUAAAAGCCCCUGGGGAAAACUGGCAUAAUACCUUGUCUAGGCAGCCCUGUACAGACUCCUGACCUAUGGUAAGUAAAGAAUGUCACUUUCUAACAAGCCCAAGAGCCCCAAGUUUUCCUGCACCCUAAAAGUGAGGAAUUCACUCAGCUAAUACAGGUAUUUGUAGGCACAGAAUGGGCUUAAGGCAUUAAAGUCAAAUCUGAGAUCCUUUAUGGAAUUAAGUUGCAACAAAGCCAAAAAAAAAAAAAAAAAAAGAAGAAGGAGCCUGUAUGGCAAAUAAUUAUUUUUUCUCACUUUAUGAAAAUACUCAGGCCAAGUAUCAUAAGACUAAAACUUAUCUUCCAAAUGAAUUUGUACUAUAAUUAGUCUUUACUGAAAAUGGGGACUGGAGAGAGAAAAAUUGUGUUUCAAAAUCAACUAUAGUACACCUGUUAUUAGCUUCUCGUCUUGCAUAAGGCUUUUCAAUUUUUAUUAUUUUCUACAGUUUGGACUAAAUUCUGAAACUUUUUGUGGUUACAAGUCCCCAGUAUAAUGUUUUCCAUUUCUUUUCCUUCUUUCUUUUACUUUUAAAUUUUUUUUCUGAUUUUAAAUCACUGAAAACUAAGCUGAGCUUUCUUAAAGCCUUGCAAACUGAAGUUAGGCAAAUUAAACUUCAGAAGAAAAUAAAAGCAACUUGUUUACAUACGUAAGCCACUCUCAUACCUGCCUACUGAUAUAUGAACUUCAGAGUUAUAUGGCCUACAUUGAUUUUCCAGAAUUUUUAUAUUUUCAUUUGUUGUUGUUUUUCACCUUCCUCCCACUAUUUGCUCUUCACAGGAUGUGAGACUUCACAACCUUCUAAAAAUGAGUUUUCCUAACAACAUGGGACCUACCCUUCUAGGAAUAAACCAUCCUAGCCAUGAGAAAUCAGAUGAAAACUGGGACCAGAGACUCUUUUUCUUCUAAAAUGCUUUUUCUGAAAGAUUUUAAAAAGAAAAGAAGGGAAAUGUGAAAGGAAAAUAAAAUUUUAGACCCCAACACCACUAAGCUAAAGGGAAAAGUCAAGCUGGGAGCUGCUUAGGGCAAAUCUGCCUCCCAUUCUAUUAAAAGUCAUUCCUCUGCUUACUGAGAUAAAUGCACAUCUGAUUGCUUCCUUUGGAGAGGCCAAUCAGCAACUCAAAAGAAUGUAACCAUUUGUCUCUUAUCUACCUAUGACCUGGAAGACCCCUCCCCACUUUGAGUUGUCCCACCUUUCCAGAUGAAUCCAAUGUACAUCUUAAAUAUAUUAAUUGAUGUCUCAUGUCUCCCUAAAAUGUAUAAAAUGAAGCUGUGCCCAGACCACCUUGGGCACAUAUCAUCAGGGCCCCCUGAGGCUCUGUCACAGGUGCAUUCUUAUCCUUGGCAAAAUAAACUUUUUAAAUUGACUGAGUCCUGUCUUAGAUAUUUUGGGUUAACAGACAAAAUAACCAACUUUGCUUCCAUUCUUAAACAAUACUAAGUUUUGCAGAUACAAAACAUUUGUAAUAGUCAAGUGUUUUUAUAAAUACUAAUAUAUUAUUUAAAGACCUAUAAGCAUCUUAUAUAUUUUAAAAAAUGAUAGUAAUUACUGAGAAAAAGAAAAUAAAAUUACAAAAUUGCAGAUAAUAGAUCAAUAAAGAAACUUUUCAAACCACGAUAAUGUAGUUCAACCUUCUUAUUUUUAAUAUGAGAAACCAAAACACAGGGAGAUUGACUAUUACAGGUUUACAAGGUUUUCUAGCUCCCAGUUUAGUGCUCUUUCUUUUCUGUUAGCUUGCCUUCAAAUUCUAAACGUUUAGAUGUUUUUAAACUAUACAUAUUCUGAGUUAUUCAAUUCAGAAAUAACAGACACAAUUUCUUUAAAAUAACUCCAACAUUUGAAAUCUACAUAUUAUAAGAGACCAGAAUAUGCCAUUCCAAAAUGUGACUGUAGAAGACUGGAAUAUAUCACAUCAAAAUAUGUCUCUUUAGCAUAGGAUUAUGUGCUGAUUAUUUUGAGAAA
RNAcentral lists this long non-coding RNA (2150 nucleotides) under Homo sapiens (human). RNAcentral describes it as "HSALNT0284283". The record is from RNAcentral. Lineage: Eukaryota; Metazoa; Chordata; Mammalia; Primates; Hominidae.